UACAGAGGGUGCAAGCGUUAUUCGGAUUUACUGGGCGUAAAGAGCGUGUAGGCCGUUUGAUAAGUCUGAUGUGAAAGCCCUGGACUCAAUCCAGGAAGUGCAUUGGAUACUGUCAAACUAGAGUGCAGGAGAGGUAAGCGGAAUUCCAGGUGUAGAGGUGAAAUUCGUAGAUAUCUGGAGGAACAACAGUGGCGAAGGCGGCUUACUGGACUGCAACUGACGCUGAGGCGCGAAAGCGUGGGGAGCAAACAGG
This 253-nucleotide ribosomal RNA is filed under the name uncultured bacterium. RNAcentral's name for it is "partial 16S ribosomal RNA". It matches the Rfam family "Bacterial small subunit ribosomal RNA", at positions 524 to 776 of the family's 1533-position model. The record is from RNAcentral.